GGAAUAAUUCUGCCUUCCAUCCUCAAGGGCCAGUGGGAAUUCUAAUGUACUUUUUCCUGAAAAUACUCCAUCCCAGGGAGACGGAGUCCUGAGAGCUCAGUGUCUGCCACAUAUCUAAGGAUCAAGGUCUCUUUCACAAAUGUGCCUGGAUCGAUGAUGACUUCAAAAAUGGAUAUUGUUGGAAUCUGAACAAAAUUAGUGACAAAAUCACUGAUGUGAACUGAGGUCCAGCAGAAGAGACCAUGCUAGGCAAAAAUGUUGGGGUAGAGCUCAGUUUGGUCAGCUAGUGGUACCUAUAGGGUCCAUAGUAAUUGAAUGCUAUCCUGAUUGCAUACAUUAAAGGAAUUGAAUUUCACGGAGGUCUAUAAAUAUCUGACUUAGGGAUGACAUGGCAACUCUUUGAAUGCUUGGCUGGCAGUUUCCAUGCAUUCAUAGUAACCAGAUCCUGGAGAACCAGCAUAGGAGUAGAGAGGCUGGUGGUAAAUGGUUAUGUCUACCCAUGAGCUAUUCACACAUUCUUCUUAGGUGCCUUAGUCUUCAGAGUGAAGUCAAUUAGGUAUUCAAGGCAGAAUAUAUGAGUGUUUAUUUAUCUCUUAAAGUAAAAGAAAAACAUAGAAAUUUAAGAGCAGUUUCUAUUUGUCAAAAUGUCUUCCAGAACAUUUUAAUUUCCUUGCUGACCAAGUCACAAGUAUUAGAAGAGUUUUUUUCCCUGUCACCCAAAGAGGAAUUUUCUAGACAUUUAUGUUAUGGAUCCAAAUAGAUGCUGUAUUAAACAUAUUUAAUUAAAAAUUAUUACAUUUCCAAUUACUUAUAUUUUAGGUAGAUUUCAUUGCCCAGUAUUCAUAUUGUGUUAGUGGGUUUCAUAGUGUUGAAGGGGAGAUCCUAGUAUUAAUGCCUGCUGCUGAGUGAAGGCUUUGGGGAAACUUUGAGACCAAGGCCUUACAACUUUCAGUGUUACCCUGAUCCAAGUAGUGAGCAUUAUUUUUCUUCUUAUACAGAUAGUCAAGGGAAUAUCUAUGGUUUAUUCCUUAUAAUCUGUUAUUAGUUAGUAAACUUUCAAUUAUGAUGGUUUGGUUUGUCAAAUUCCCUAAUUUCCCAAUAUAUUCAGUAGAUUAGAGGUGAUAUUGAAGUUGGAUGGAAUUCCUCCCACUUCUUCAAGGAACUGCUGAUUUUCUCAUUCAUACCAGCUCCCUUCUGCAUAAAUAAUCACAACAAUGCACUCCAGAGAUGGAAGUGACUUUGGAAUUGCAUGGAAUACUCACCACCAUAAAAAAGUGCUGAUUUUGUUGCUUUCACCUGUUCCCUCUCCUGGGAUGGAACAAAAUAAUGAACUCCAAAGUUCCACAGAUAUGGACCACUGGUUGAGUUUAAUAUGAAAGAGUUUAUCCCUCUUCUUGAGAGGUGACAUGAAGGAAAGUAUUGAAAAUCAUUUUACCAUCUCAUCCUCAAAUGCCAGUGGGAAUUGUAACAUCAGUUGGAAGUAAUACUGGAAUUGCAUGGAAUUCUUACCACCCCACCAAAGAAGAGCUGGUUUUGUCACUUCUGCCAGCUCCUUAUCUAAGAAGAAAUCCAAUGAUGCACUCUCAAGAAUUUUUGCAUUUUCUCAGUCUUCCUACUAAUGCCUCAUACAGGAAUUAAGCAUGGAGAUGAAAGUAAAGCCAUUCCUCACCAGUGUGGCAGAGAGAAACUGUUUCUACUGAGGGGUGUGCUUGGCCAAAUGUACUGAAUCCUCAGCAGUGUGGCCUGGUGAGCACCACCCUGACAAUAGGAUGGGAAGUAUUUCAUGGUUGAGAUGUUCCAAAAACUGGGUUUCAUAAGGAUGAGUUUAUCCCUUCCCCGUGAGAUGAGACAUGAAGGAAAGUGUUGGGAAUAAUUCUGCUUCCCAUCAUCAAAGGCCUGUGUGAAUUCUCACAAAGGUGAUAGAGCCUAGAAGGAAAGGGAAACUGUCUAUGCUUUUGCCUUAACCUUUGAAUGUCAGUUCUAGAGAAGGAGGUGACAACUUACUUCUCAGCCAGUGCUCUCCCUUCCCACCUGUGGUCCUUUGGACACCCUCGCAGAAGAUGACUUCUUGGGAACUCUUUUGGGAAUGAAUGAUACCAGUAAAUCCCUGAAGCAAGAUUCUUCAGACAGAGCCUAUUCACCUACCUGUUGUCCAAGGGCUACCCUCUGAAGGUGAUGACCACAGAGACGAGGUGGAUUUGUUACUGUGGGUACCAUUACUUCUACCAUCAGCUUCUUCAAAACAAUGAUACAGUCUUCUUUGUGCAUGGAAACUCUUCUAUUUCCUGUGUUGCAGUGGAUUCCUCCUGCAGAUAAGAAAUGCUUAACUGAGAAAUGCUCAUGUUGGGAUAUCAUCGAUGAGACUUUAAUUUGGGCAUGGUGACUGUUUCCCUUGCUUCCACUUGACUCAAUCCCAGGAGCCUCAGUAGAGGAAAUAUUAUUGCACAAGAAACUCAGAAUGAUGGAAUUGCUCAGUGCUCCCAUAAAUAUACAUUUAUAAUUUUCAUUUGCCAUGUGGUAAAUUUAAAAAUUAAGUUCUAUUAAAAUUUUUUCAAAAAUUCAAAGCAUAUCUAAAUAUCUAAUAUAUAAAUUAAGUGCCCUCCUCUCUCCCAAUUCUAUCUCCUAGAGUUAUCCUCUAUUAAAUAAGUUGUGUGCAUUCUUUAAGUGGAUAGAUGCACACACACACAAACACACACACACAAGAUAUUUUGGGGGGUUCUGAAAGUGGAGCUAUAUUGUACACAUUAUUCUUCAAAUUGCAUUUCAUUUAACAGUUUUUUCAACACCUUUUUCUGUUUCAGUAAUACAUAUCUGUGUCAUUUGUUGAAUGACUGCAUGAUUGUUUUGUACAUGAAAUAUAAUUAAAUGUUUUAAGCAUUUCUCAUUCAUAGAUAUUUAUGUUAGCACCAAAUUUCUGUGCAAUGAACCUCCCUAUAUAUCAAUAAUUUGCAUUUGUCUAUUAUAUCAUAAUAAAUUACUCAGCAGUGAAAAUACUGGGAUUAAGUAUAUGCACAUUUCAAAUUUUGAAAAUGAUCACAAGAUUUCCUUUAAAAUGUGGUAACAACUUUAUCCUCAAAUGGCAAUGAAUGAGAUUGCCAGCUUUCCCACAACCUCACAGAUAAUGAAUUUUAUGACUAUUUAAAAUCUUUGCCAGUGUGAUAGCCCAAACUAUUGUCUUAAAUUGUAUUUCUUUCAUUUUUGAGUGUGAUCAUUUUUUCAUAUGUUUAUUAGCCAUCUGUAUUUUUAAAUUUUCUUUUUAUAUCCAAUUUUGGGGGUGGGUGGAGGUUUUAAUCUCUUGCUAAUUUCAGAGAGCUCAUUUAUUAUUGGGGGAAUAAGCUUUCAAUUGUCAAGCAUUACAGAUAUUUUUUACACACUUUUAAACUUCAUUUUUGUUAUAAGAAUGUGUAUGACUGUUAUGUGUCCAAGUAUAACCAUGUUCGCUUCUAUGGCUUCUGAGUUUCAUGUCAUUUUAGAAAGAUAUUUACACUGAUCCCAUAAAACUCUCCACCUAUGUUAACUUCUAAUUAUUUUGUGUUUUUUAAUUCAAAUUCUUAAAUCAUGAGAAAGUUUUUUUAUUUCAAAUCUUAAAGUUGCCAAGUUAUUUGCCAUUACUUGCGAUUAUUUGCCAAUAAUUGCCCAUUUAUCUGUAAUGCCAUCUUGCAUAUAUGCUGUAUUCUCAUCUGUGACUGGCUCCAUUUUUGUUCUGUGGGUCUGUGUGUCUCUUCUUCUGCCUCCUGUCUCAUGUGUCUUCUCAUUGGAAGAAAUUACAGUUUAGACUGCAAUUUCAUCAACUUCAAUAAAUUAAUUUAGUGGAGAAUUGGUUUUUAACAAUAGUCUUCCUAUCCAAGAUCAAGGUAUGUCUUUCUUUUUAUUCAAUAAUUUUAAUUACUGUUAAUAUUUUCACUUUGUGGUGGGGGUAUCUUCUUUCAGUUUAUUUUCUUACUUGCUAAUUUUUCUAUAUCUGGAAGUUUUGUUUUGUUUUGGGGGUAAGUGAUCUCCUUACUCUUUCUCAUGGCUUUUCAGAAUUUUUUUUCAAAUUAUGUACUAAAUCCUUUGAAAAUACUGAUAGUUGUGAUUCUCCUCUUCCAAAUGAUCUGGAUUUUAGUUAUGUUGAUAAAAUUCACUGACUGAUACUUUCAGAGCACUUAAACAAUUGUGGAAAUAUUACCCACCAUUGAUUUAAUUAGGUUUUAAUGGAUACUUCUUGGGUUUGACCAGCAUGUUUUUGCUGGUCUAUUAAGCAAAAAGACUCUCAGAAACCUACUGCAGCAAGGGAAAACACCACUUUGACAAGGUUUAGUAGUGUUUCAAAAGCAGGAAAUUAGGGCUUUGAGGGAUGGGUUGAUGUGGUUUAAGGCAGGAUUUUCAAGGCAGGGAACUGGUUAAGAGUGGGCAAAAUUUGUCCUGCGAUAGUUUGAAGUCGAUGAAAGAGUAAGAUGAGGACCUUGAUGUGAGUUUAGAUAAUCAAAUUUUUGUCUGAUGAAUGAGCUACUUCCCUAUAUGAAUAAUAAGUUAUCAAUGAUGGAAGAACUAUUUGCUUAGAUGAACAGACUGAAUUUAUUUGUUGGUUUACAGUUCUAUCUUGUUUAUAGAACCCUGCUAGGGGUGGUAUCAGGUCUUAGUUCCAAUAGGUAAGUUAUUUUGAUGUAAGUAGUCUCAGUCAUCAAAGUAAGAUGCUAAUUUUAAAUUUGAGAUUCUUGUGUAUUGUGUUAGGAAAAGUCUCUUACCUUUGAUAUAUUUCUAAAGAAUUUUAAUCAAAACCAAGUGGUAGAUAUAAUCAAAUGCUUUUUGCAUAAACAAUUGUAUUAUUCUUUAAACUUUUAUCAUUGUGAAAUAAUUCAUUUUUAAUAUUGAAAUUUCCUUAUAUUCCUUUUAUUGU
Molecule: long non-coding RNA, 4879 nt
Organism: Aethalodelphis obliquidens (Pacific white-sided dolphin)
Lineage: Eukaryota; Metazoa; Chordata; Mammalia; Artiodactyla; Delphinidae
Exons: 9
Source: RefSeq, a predicted model, not a curated record